CAUUGUGUUUCCACCCCUUGCCAAUUUACUUAUAGGGUAUUAUUAACUGGUUAAUAAUAAAACUGGAAGUGAGGCGCAAGCGCGAUCGCGUCAACCUGCGAAUUCAAAGCAAAGUUUUUCAGUCGAAAGUUUCAUGAUUGCCGGACGGUUUUAUUACAGUUUCGAAAUACCAGGUGAAUUACUGAAACUUUGACACUUGUUAUAUAAUCAAUACGCAACCAACCACUCGGCCGCCGAGGCCACAAAACAUGCUGUUUCCCCAGCCUAGUCCCAGGCUCUCUCUCUCUAUUCGCUGCUUUGAUAUAUUUAAAUAAGACUUAAAAGUUUUAUGCCUGGGUGUGCUGUGCGGAACGCUUCAGCGAGAGAGCCUAGCAGAUUUCGGUAAAAUGGUCCCUGAUUUCAAAAAAGUGGUCCCUGGCCUGGUUACCAAGCAUACCACCUUUGUAAAUAGAAAAUGUUAUGGAAAUUUCCUUUGCGUUUAUCGGAACUGUGAAAUAGGCUGUCGGAACAAUGAAAUAGGCUACGUUUCUAAGGCUACUAAAUCUGACUCGUGUUUACUAAAAUAUAAAGCCAUAGUAAAUGCUAUAUAGAAGCUUGAAAAUUAUGCCGAGUCUCCGACUAAAAAUGUUUUGACAACACAGUCGUGUCAGGCAUGCAAAUAUUUCCUAUCUCCUCAGCUACUUAAACCUGUCAAGUAGAAAGCGUGGUUGUGUAUACCAGUAUGAUCUAUAGUGUUGAUUAGGGAUGAGCCGAUAAGGAAAAUUGCCGAUUACUGAGGCCGAUUAUUUAUAAGCCGAUUAUUGUACCUAAUCGGCCGAUUAAUCGGUACCCGCCGAUUAUUUUAAAAAGCAAGCGAACAAUCACAAGAUGACCAACAAUGAAGUUGUAAAUGUGGUUUUAUUGUUUACAAUACACAUUACGUACAAUUGAAAACAGCUUCAAUCUUGCAUGUCAAUAGUCAAAGUUUAGUUUUGGAAGAUUAUGGUGUAAAAACAGGAUAUUGUCAGUUUUGCGGAGCUAGUCUGCUGCGUUUUUCACUUCACUUGAGACAAAAGACACCGGUUUUGCAACAAAAUGUGAAAAUCUAUUUGCUUGUAUUCAGUAUUUUAGCAUGUGCUUGGCAGCUGCAGAAAAAGUCUUAUGGCCGAUUAUUUGCCGAUUAUCAAGCAAUAAUCGGCCGAUUACCGAUUAUUUAAAAAACGGCCGAUUAUUUACUGAUUAAUCGGCUCAUCCCUAGUGUUGAUCACAACUUGCGAGUAUAUAUAUAAAUAACAUCAACGAUUAUACGACCAUUGCUCAGACUCAGUAUCAUAAAUUUGUAUAUAAUUUUUUUUGACCGAGCACAUUUUUAAUACAUGUAUAGCUUGAUCAACGAACAUUGUCGUAUUUACAAGCUUAUUUGUAUACAUAAAUUUUCCGGCAUAUUAAAAAUACUGAAAUCUGCUAGGCGUUCUGAAGCACCUUUAGCGGUGACGUCACACCUAGGUCCCAGUCUCGUACUACAUCCACGUUUUUUCUCGCGCUUGCUUCAGAACGACUGGGACUAGGCUGCGGCUGGCCAUCUGCAAAUAAAAUUUGCAGCUCUUCACAUUGUCAAAAUACAACUAUUCUUGAUCGCUUUUUUAGUUAAACACAUUGUAAAAUUUACGUAUUGCCCGUGGGCAAUACGGGAAAAUCCUGCCUCGCCAGCAGCCAAUCAAAUUGCGCGAUUCGUCAAAACAAAUACUUGCCAUAUAAUAAAUUGGGUUACAGCUUGUAUUUGAAUUUAAUCGAGUAUGAAAUUGCCAGGACUAAGUCGUAGCCGUAUUCGGCAGUGGAAUUACUUCCAUAUCGUGUAUAGCAAGUGUUGUAUAUGAAAUUAAAAUACUCAUUAAAAAUUCAUAAACCUUGUGGCAAAUCAUGUCAGCCCAAAGAUGUCAGCCAUAACAUGUCACGUGGAGUGACUUUAUAUCUGAUAAAACUCAUCUUCAUUAGUAUUCUUUAUAUAAUUGUUCAUCCUAAUUAGUAUGAUUAUAUAAUUGUUCAUCCUAAUUAGUAUUCUUUUGUGGUCGUAUUUUAGGCUAUUCAAAAUACGAGAAGCAGUGUUUUAUCAUAUCUAAAACGCUCGGCUGCUCCUCGCGUUUUAAAUAUGAUAAAACACUCCUUCUCCUGUUUUAAAUACUACAUAAUCCUGGCCAAUAAUUCCGUAGGUAAACUGUCGUUUAAAGAAAAAAUGUCAUAUAAAGGAACUGGAACGCUACCUUCCGAG
Molecule: long non-coding RNA, 2248 nt
Filed under: Paramuricea clavata
Lineage: Eukaryota; Metazoa; Cnidaria; Anthozoa; Malacalcyonacea; Plexauridae
Source: RNAcentral